CAGGCCUUGACAUCCAAUGAACUUUCCAGAGAUGGAUUGGUGCCUUCGGGAACAUUGAGACAGGUGCUGCAUGGCUGUCGUCAGCUCGCGUCGUGAGAUGUUGGGUUAAGUCCCGUAACGAGCGCAACCCUUGUCCUUAGUUACCAGCACGUAAUGGUGGGCACUCUAAGGAGACUGCCAGUGACAAACCGGAGGAAGGUGGGGAUGACGUCAAGUCAUCAUGGCCCUUACGGCCUGGGCUACACACGUGCUACAAUGGUCGGUACAAAGGGUUGCCAA
RNAcentral lists this ribosomal RNA (279 nucleotides) under Pseudomonas helmanticensis. Its description in RNAcentral is "partial 16S ribosomal RNA". It matches the Rfam family "Bacterial small subunit ribosomal RNA", at positions 975 to 1253 of the family's 1533-position model. The record is from RNAcentral. Lineage: Bacteria; Pseudomonadati; Pseudomonadota; Gammaproteobacteria; Pseudomonadales; Pseudomonadaceae.